CUCCAACACUGGUUGAGACAGUGCAUGAGGAUUCAGGUUCUGAUGCAUGGGCGUGUAUAUGAAGGAAUGAGUUGGAUGCUGAUUGAUCUAUUGCUCAUUUAGCAGUGAACAGAGAAGACUUAAGAUGAGUGAUGGAAUGAUCACCGAUCAUUAGUAUGGGUAUCGGAUUAGUCGUUUGUGGACUUCUCAAAUUGGGAGCAAAGAUGUCUCUAAAGGAAAACAAUGCAGCAUCCUUGAGCUUUCGGCAAGGAGCUGUGUUGUUCGGGAGGAUCAGCUGUGGGAUGUUUAACUACCCCUAGUGGGAGUCCAUGGAACUGCUGCAUGAUGCUGCCACCACAAGGGAAGCUCGGGGUGGCUGUAGACACUAGUGAAAAAAAAGGCCUGCUUGAGCACUCAUAUUCUGUAAUUGUUAUGCUACAUGUUUACUUUUUAUCCCAAUACAUUUUCGGCAAGUUCAUACGUGCUGCAGCUUAUGAUUACAUUUUGCCACCCAGUGCUAGUUUUUCGUCUACUUACGAAUAAAUAUGUUGCGUCGUAACUUCGUAA
Malus domestica (apple) is the source of this 546-nucleotide non-coding RNA. NCBI's taxonomy places the organism in Eukaryota, Viridiplantae, Streptophyta, Magnoliopsida, Rosales, Rosaceae. The record is from RefSeq and is a predicted model, not a curated record.